RNAcentral lists this ribosomal RNA (253 nucleotides) under uncultured bacterium. RNAcentral's name for it is "partial 16S ribosomal RNA". It matches the Rfam family "Bacterial small subunit ribosomal RNA", at positions 524 to 776 of the family's 1533-position model. The record is from RNAcentral.
CACGUAGGGGGCGAGCGUUGUCCGGAUUUAUUGGGCGUAAAGAGCUCGUAGGCGGCUAUUCAAGUCGAACGUGAAAUCUCGGAGCUCAACUCCGAAACUGCGUUCGAUACUGGGUAGCUAGAGUCUGGUAGGGGGAUCUGGAAUUCCUGGUGUAGCGGUGGAAUGCGCAGAUAUCAGGAGGAACACCGGUGGCGAAGGCGGGAUCCUGGGCCAGUACUGACGCUGAGGAGCGAAAGCGUGGGGAGCAAACAGG